UUUUGCCGGGAUCGCCAUCUGCCAGCGCGUUGCGCCCGCAGGUGCCCUUGGC
This 52-nucleotide small RNA is filed under the name Pseudotabrizicola sp. 4114. RNAcentral's name for it is "ffh sRNA". It matches the Rfam family "ffh sRNA". The record is from RNAcentral. Lineage: Bacteria; Pseudomonadati; Pseudomonadota; Alphaproteobacteria; Rhodobacterales; Paracoccaceae.